Molecule: ribosomal RNA, 1953 nt
Filed under: Triticum aestivum (bread wheat)
Lineage: Eukaryota; Viridiplantae; Streptophyta; Magnoliopsida; Poales; Poaceae
Description: partial small subunit ribosomal RNA
Source: RNAcentral
AUGGACGACGGCGACGGCGGCCUCAGCUUCGAUUUCGAGGGCGGCCUCGACACGGGCCCAGCGGCGGGCGGGCUAGCGCUGUCCUCGGCCGACGCCGGCGCGACCGGCGGCGGCGGCGGCGGAGAUGGGGGCGGGCACGGGCGAGGCCGCGGGCGCGGCAGCUACAGGCAGACGGUGUGCCGGCACUGGCUGCGCGGGCUGUGCAUGAAGGGCGAGGCGUGCGGGUUCCUCCACCAGUUCGACAAGGCCCGCAUGCCCGUGUGCCGCUUCUUCCGCGACUACGGCGAGUGCCGCGAGCCGGAUUGCGCCUACAAGCACUCCUACGACGACGUCAAGGAGUGCAACAUGUAUAAGAUGGGAUUUUGCCCUAAUGGCCCAAAUUGCCGAUACAAGCAUGUCAAGUUACCUGGACCACCACCUCCUGUCGAGGAAGUUCUCGCGAAGAUUUUGCAGAUGCGGUCUUCCAAUUUCAACAAGUUUAAUCAGCACAGGAACAAUAAUUAUAAUCAGCAGGGGGACAGGCCUCGACCUCCACCUGGUUCAGGCUUACCUAACCAAAAUUCGACAGACAAUGCUUCAACAAUGCAACCAGCUGCUGGGCAACAAGCUCAAACAAUGAAUCAACAGCCCCAACAGAAGCAGCAGCAGGUGCAGCAGCAGCAGAAGCCAAAUACAAACGACCAGGUUCAAGGUGUUCCAAAUGGCUCCUCUAAUCAACCCACCAGACUUGCAACACCCCUCCCGCAAGGGUCGUCUAGGUACUUCAUUGUUAAGAGUUGCAAUCGGGAGAACCUGGAAAUAUCAGUUCAGCAGGGAAUCUGGGCUACUCAAAGGAGUAAUGAGGCUAAACUAAAUGAAGCUUUUGAAUCCAUGGACAAUGUUAUUUUAAUAUUCUCAAUCAAUAGAACACGUAAUUUCCAGGGUUGUGCAAAGAUGACUUCUAGGAUUGGUGGCUACAUUGGUGGCGGAAACUGGAAAUCUGCUAAUGGAACAGCACAUUAUGGUCGGAACUUCUCACUACAGUGGCUUAAGCUUUGCGAAUUGUCGUUUCAGAAAACUCAUCAUCUUCGCAACCCAUACAAUGACAAUCUCCCUGUCAAGAUCAGUCGAGAUUGCCAGGAAUUAGAACCUUUCAUUGGUGAGCAAUUGGCUUCUCUGCUUUAUCUGGAGCCAGAUAGUGAACUUACGGCUAUGCUAGUUGCAGCAGAGGCCAAGAGAGAAGAGGAAAAGGCGAAGGGAGUCAGUGCCGACGAAGCAGCUGACAACCAAGAUAUUGUGCUGUUUGAGGACAAUGAAGAAGAGGAGGAAGAGGAAAGUGAGGAGGAAGACGAAAACAAUGGCCAAGAAUCCCAGGGAAGGGGGCGGGGAAGGGGAAUGAUGUGGCCGCCUCAGAUGCAGAUGCCACGUGGACCAAUGAUGGGACCGCGCGGCUUCCCUCCCAACAUGAUGGGCGAUUUUGGUGGCGGUUUCGGCUUUGGCAUGCCCGAUCCGUUCGGCAUGCCGCGUGGCUUCCCACCAUUCGGUGGCCCAAGGUUCCCCGGUGACUUCCCCAGAGGUCCCAUGCCUGGCAUGGUCUUCCCCGGAAGGCCUCCGCAGCCCGGCGGCAUGUUUCCCAUGGGCCUCGAGAUGAUGAUGGGCCCCGGCCGAGGGCCGCUCAUGGGAAUGGGCGGGCCAGGACGGCCGAACCGCCCCAUCGGCAUGGCCCCCUUCAUGCCGCCGCCGCCACCCCGUCCCGUGAAACGGGACCAGAGGAGGCCGGGCGGCGACAACAGGGGUGACAGGUACGAGACAGGGUCUGACCAGGGGAGCAGGGGCCAUGACAACAAUGCCGGCAACUCCGGAGCAGACGGGAACAGGUCCCAGUCCGGGGACAGGUUUGGCAGGAGCGCCUUCCGGGACGACGACAGCGAGAGCGACGAGGAGGCGGCACCCAGGCGGUCAAGGAAGCGAUAG